CGGGGUUGGAUUAGUGGCGAACGGGUGAGUAACACGUGGGCAAUCUGCCCUUCACUCUGGGACAAGCCCUGGAAACGGGGUCUAAUACCGGAUAACACUCUGUCCCGCAUGGGACGGGGUUAAAAGCUCCGGCGGUGAAGGAUGAGCCCGCGGCCUAUCAGCUUGUUGGUGGGGUAAUGGCCUACCAAGGCGACGACGGGUAGCCGGCCUGAGAGGGCGACCGGCCACACUGGGACUGAGACACGGUCCAG
RNAcentral lists this ribosomal RNA (251 nucleotides) under uncultured Actinomycetales bacterium. RNAcentral's name for it is "partial 16S ribosomal RNA". It matches the Rfam family "Bacterial small subunit ribosomal RNA", at positions 82 to 334 of the family's 1533-position model. The record is from RNAcentral. Lineage: Bacteria; Bacillati; Actinomycetota; Actinomycetes; Actinomycetales.